GGGUAUGUUUUAAGGAUUUUUUCGCAUGAGCGCAGCUGUUGCGAUAAAUUGACCGAUUGGGAGGUGGUAGAAGCACUGAAUGAAGGUGAGGCUUUUUUUUUUUUUUUUUCCAAUUUUCUUAUACAUUUUUCUUCCUUAAAAAAAAUAUAUAUAUAUAUAUAUGCUUUUGCUUUUUUUUUUUUUUUUUGGGGCUUCUGUUUGCUUUUGACUUUUACUUAAAACCCUUUUACAUUUCCACUUUAAAUGCCUAUUGUUCAUUGGGAGAAGGAAAGAAACUUUUGUAUGUCUGACACAGUCCCAAGAUUUUUGAUUUCUCUGCAUAACUGUAAAAGGCAACAUUAUUGGCCUCCAACUUUUUUUUUUUUUUUUUUUUUUUUUUUUUUGAGAGGGAGUCUCCUAUCACCAGGCUGGAGUGUAGUGGGUCGAUCUUGGCUCACUGCAACCUCCGCCUCCCGGGUUCAAGCGAUUCUCUUGCCUCAGCCUCCCGAGUAGCUAGGACUACAGGCAUGCGCCACCACAUCCAGCUAAUUUUUGUACUACAACCUUCUUAUAGGCAGAUUUGGACCGAUCUUCUCCUUUGGAUGUGUCAGAUCAUCCUAAAUUUUAGAAGCAGUUGAUUCACUUUGGAAUUCAGAAUGAUUCUUGUAUUAGAAGAUCAUUUGGGGGUAUUAAUUUUUGUUUAAGUUUAGAAUAAAAGUAAAGAUUCCUUUUGGGUAUCAGUUGAAACCCUUUAGUAACUCAAUUUCUGUUGUUCUUAUUUCCUUUAAAUACACUUGUUCUUGGCUUUCACCUUUUUGAUUCUGUGAAGUAGGCAGGAGCAGGGAUUAAUUUAUUCAGUAUUCCUGUUCUGAAGAAAACCAGAAAAGUCACUGUAUAAACUUGACUUAAAAUAGUAUCUUUCUCUUUUCAUGUAUUUUCAUUUGGGGGAAAAAAAUCUCUUUAAUUGUAACCUGAAUUCGAGCUGUACCCCUCCAUGGUCCUACACUUGAGCUAAUCUGGUUGGGUAGAAAGGCAGAAGAAUGGUAUAUUGUCCCAUUGUGCCUAUAAUGUAUUUUAAAUUGGUCAUUCCACCUUACUUAAUGGAAAAUCUUGCAGUUUUCCUAGUGCUCAUCAGCAGUUUUAGGUAUUCACUAACACCCCGAAAUUUUUUUUUUUUCCUUUUUCUCUGUGAUAUCAUGAGCCUGUAAGGACAAAUGGCAUAUUUGGGUAUAACUGCUUGACUCUGUAACUACUUUUAAAAAUCAAUAUCUAAAAGGUAUUAAUUUCUUCUGGCUUUUUAAUUUUGUUUUUUUAGAGACAAAGAUGAAACCAGAUAGGAAAUAUAGUUUCUAUGUUUUCUACUUAUUACAAUAUUAGUUUCUUCUAAAUAUUACUUUAUUUGUAUUUCACUAAGUUCAAAAGCAAAAAUUGGAUAUCUGAGAUGAACAAUUUUGAAUGGGUUAAGGUAGGAGUAAUAAGCAUUGUGUUCUCUCAUAUAUAGGUAAGGGAAUUUUAUUUAUAGUGAGAAAUAUAAAAGUACUUUGACAUACUGUUUUUUCAAGGAGUCUCUAGAAAAGGGUAGAAGAACUGAGAAUGAGACAUCUAGAUUCCAUUUCUGGUUUAUAUGUAGCUCUUUUGCCUAAUUUAUAUAUAAUUUUGUCACAAGAUAAGUCCAGUAACUAUCCUGUCUUAGAUAAUCUGCAGAGGCUGAAGUGACCAAAGAUCCAUUCCUUAUUACUUUUCUAAUUAAAAGAAGAGAUAGCUAGAUUUCUAGUAAUAUUAUUCUAGAUAUUGAUAAGACACUGUUCCUAAUGCCAACUACAAAUAUUCAGUUACUCAGAAUGUAUUUAAAAAAUUGUUUGGUACAGCAUUAAUGUUGGUGAUUCCUUUCUCCCAUCUUAUUUCCCUUCCCUUCUAUUCUUUCCCAUGUAUUUCUUUUGCCUAAAAGAACAUUGGUAUGAUUCUCAUUUGCUACUUUGAGUAUAUAACUCCAUCAGACUUUCCAGAGUUCUUCAGGGAUGGAGCUCAAAGUUCACAUUUUUCCAUAAAUGUCUUUUUUUUUUCUUGACCUUUUUCCACCCUGUAAUUUCCCCUUGACUUACCCACUGCCCUCCCCAAUCUGCAAAAGUGACAGUUUGCUGCCUCAAAACAGAGCAUUCAAAUGAAUUCGCUUAGCCAAUAACUUCUGUGAAGUUGCCUUUUCUAAUGGUGUUAUUACUCAGUGAUGCACAAAUGUGGUAUUUGCCCUACUGGUAGGCAAACAAAGGUCUGGUUAAGAAUGGUAACCUGCUGUUUUCUUUAAAGGAGAGCCAAAGACUUGUGCUUUACUCUGUUUUGGUUUUGGGGGAAGUAGUAGCCAUUUUGAUCAUGAAACGUUUUAGUAUUUGUGAGUUGGUUGUACUGUGUAAGUAGAUUUAUCUAAAGUUAACUGUUAAAGUUAGCUAGCCUUAUAAGAUGUAAAAGUAAUGAAAAUUCAUCAGUUUCUCUAAGCCAGUGAAUGUCAUCUUUUAUAAUGUUGUGUAUAAGCAUUUGUGCCCACCCCAGCUUCUGCUAUCACUGUGGUCAAGUCAUGGGUCUGGGUAAAGGAAUUCUAGAGUAUGUGACUGGUGAGAAAAAACUAACUAUAGUCAGUACAUGUACAGAUUGUUAAAAUUCAAGAAAAAAUAUUUUCACUUAAAAAAAGGAUCCGUCUCAGUAAAGAAGUAUUUAGUUGCUGUCACUUAUAUGCAAAUCGUGGUGGGUAGCAGUCUCACCAUUUUUCUACUCUCUUUUUGCUCGUUUUAAGUAAUUGAGUAAAAGUUUUAUUUGUAAAAUCUAUCUGUAAAAAAGCACUUGUAACGAUUUUAUAUGUCAUUGAAAGGAAUGGCCCAGUUACUUUUUAGGAGAGAUUAAUAACCUACCUGGAAAUUAACUACAGUGUUUACUUAGAUUUUUUCCCCCUAAAAAGAGUCUAAGUGUGUUAAAUUUUUAAUUGGUGAUAUGGUUACAGUGUUGCAAGGUGAUCUCUUCCCCUGAAAAAUCUGCCUAUCCUUUAGAGCUACUAAACUAAAGCAAAUUUUACUUUCAUCAUUAGCACCUGAACAAGCAAGCAAUCUACUACUGUCAUCAUUUUACCUGAGUGCCCAUUUUGCUGAUCCACAUUCAUACCUUUCUACCUGCGACAGCUAUGAUUUUUAUAUUUAUUUGUUGCUUCAGCUCAGGUUUAUGAAAUUUUCCUGCUGAAAUGACUUAUUGGGAGUUGUAGGUUGAUUAUAGUUACUAUUAAACAUUUUCUCAAUUUAGCUUUUCUGAGCCACUUCAAAAAGAAAGCUGUUUUUGUCAAAAGGUACUAUAAUUGUAGCAAGUAAAUCUUAAGAUUUGAAUUUUUAAGAUUUUAUUUCUGUGCUCACUAAAGAUCUUUUCACAAGUAAUAGAUUAUAAUUGAUAAGUAAUACUAGCUAUAGUGUUAAUAAAGAAUAAGACUGUCACCACCAGGAAUAAGUAACACCAUUUAGUAAUCUAUUCCUAAUAGGUAUGUUUUCAAUACUGCACUGAACAAAGUGGGUAAAGAGCCCUUUGAAAUCCUUUUGUAAUAAAGGGAUUUACCUCACCACUGGAAUCCUUGUUUUCAGAGCCUCUGGAUUUUCAGCCAAACACUGAACUCUCCUAAACUUUAUCCCUGAACAAAACAUCCCUAGAGAACAAACUUUAUUUUCACAAGAAAAUAAGGCACAAUAAGGGGGAAGAACUUAAACCUCAAGAUAAUAUUGUGUCCAAAAAUGUGUAUUUAGAAAAAUAAAAUCCUGUGGAGUUUGUUAUCCUAAUGUUUAUUUUAUACUAGAUAAGGUGACUUGUUUUCUUGUAUUGAGGUCUUACUGUUUCAGAUUUGUUUUUGUUUCUGUUCUAACUCUAAGCAGACAGAGCUCACAAGUCUUUGGCAUCCAUUUUAGGUUGUACACGCAGAGUCAUCUUAUAACUGGAAACUGUCAGGUGGUCCCCCACCCCAGUGAGUGUAUGAAAGGGUCAAGAAAAAGAUUGGAAACAAACUAUUGGGGGAAUAAUUGGUUGCUUUAUUAUUAAUUUUUUUUUUUGCCUGUUUUUUUUGUGUGUGUGUAAUCACCAUUUAUUUGUGAAAUCUUUCUCCAGUGAUUGGCUGUCAUUCUCAUAAUAUCUGAACUACCCCAUAAAAUAGUUCUCUGAUUUAAAAGCAUUUAGCUUUUGCUUAUUGUUUUUACAUCCUCUAUUCAACUAAGACGCUGUCCUGAGAAUUAUUUUUUCCAGAUGGAUCGUUGGCCUGAAUUUUCACACUUCACCCCUGUUCAUCCUUUUUCCUCUUCCUGCUUCCUGGGAAUAAAAGGAACUUUUUUUUUUUUUAAUUAAUUAGUCCACGGGCCUCAUUAUCUUUCUUUAUGAUUAAUCUAUGACUUUUGGGUACAAGAACAAUGGAAAAAGUGAAUUAAGGUAAUGAACAAAACCUUUCACCCACUUAAACAUUUUCCAGUUUUGAGAUUCCUCUUUGUGUGUGUGGUCUCUUCCCCUUGUCACCCCUUCUGCCCUUUUUCUCUGACUAUGGUAAUUUGGUCUUUAGGCUCAUACCAGUCUCCCCGAGACAUUCUGCAGUCAUUAUCACCUUUUUGGGUGGAUUUUAUUUUGUUUUAUUUUGUUUUUUUUAAAAAAAAUAACUUUUUAACAUUGGUGCAUAUUUGCUUGGGAUAGAGCUUGUGUAAUUUACCAAUCGUAUUGAUUGUAAGUGAUUGUGCCCUGCAGAGGUAUAUUUAACAAGACAAAAAUAAUCUUGGUUAAUAAAGGAGCCCAUGAGAUUUGAGUCAGGUUAUAAGUGACUUUAUGAAAUCACUUACAGUUUUGGAUAGACUUUAAAUCUCCUUAUAAAUCAGUGGUAGAUAUACCAUUUUUUAAAGUUUUCUUACAUUUUUUGUUUUUUAUUGCCGCACCUCCCUAUUCUUUCUUGCCUGCCUCCACCCACCUGUUUGGGGGAAAAAAAAAAAUUGAGCCUUAAAGUGACAGCUGAUUUUAUAAUUGCUGAAUUUUGUGAAAUUUUACUUUUUCCAAGUGUUUCCAACUUAGAGAAGUGAAGACAAAUAGGUUGGAAUGGUGAAGACAAAUGGAUUGGAAUUUCACAAGCUGCGAAUAAUUCCUUAGGAUCUGGCAAACUGUGAAGUCUUAUUUGAAGACCUUAUCUCCUGAGAGUUCUUUUGGAGUAGGAAAAAGAACCCUAUUUGAAAUAGACCAUUUUUCUCUUGUUUUUAAUCUGUUUAAUAUUUCUGAUUUUUAAGCAGCUUUCAAAACAAGUGUGGUGGAAAAAAAGAAAUAGUAGGAAGAUGUUUAGGGUAGCAGAACUCUGGGUCUAAAUAAGUACAUGUUCCCACUUGUUGCUGAUUUUUGAGAGUACUAGGGCCAUUUUUUUCCAAUUUUGUAUUAUUUGUUUGCAUGUUUAUAUCAAAGAUGCCCAUUUUGUUAAAAUGCUAUUUCCUUUCUUUAUUACCUGAAACUGACUCAGCCUCAUGUUGCUCCUAAUUAGUGUUUAAGGCUCCCAUGAGUUGCAGAUAAAAGGAUUUAUUUUAACAAGUAGAAGGAGGUGAUUCACCUUUUGGAUUGUAAAUAUAUGAAAGUGUCUACAAGGUCUUUAUCUGCUUUCUGUCAGCAUUUAUAUUAAAUGAUA
Long non-coding RNA from Macaca fascicularis (crab-eating macaque), 5638 nucleotides. The record is from Ensembl. Lineage: Eukaryota; Metazoa; Chordata; Mammalia; Primates; Cercopithecidae.